RNAcentral lists this ribosomal RNA (468 nucleotides) under uncultured bacterium. RNAcentral's name for it is "partial 16S ribosomal RNA". It matches the Rfam family "Bacterial small subunit ribosomal RNA", at positions 28 to 507 of the family's 1533-position model. The record is from RNAcentral.
GACGAACGCUGGCGGCGUGCUUAACACAUGCAAGUCGAACGGAAAGGCCCUGCUUUUGUGGGGUGUUCGAGUGGCGAACGGGUGAGUAACACGUGAGUAACCUGCCUUUGACUUUGGGAUCACUUCAGGAAACUGGGGCUACUACCGGAUAGGAGCUCUUGCUGCAUGGUGGGGGUUGGAAAGUUUCGGCGGUUGGGGAUGGACUCGCGGCUUAUCGGGUUGUUGGUGGGGUAGUGGCUUACCAAGGCUUUGACGGAUAGCCGGCCUGAGAGGGUGACCGGCGACAUUGGGCCUGAGAUACGGCCCAGACGCCUACGGGAGGCAGCAGUGGGGAGUAGUGCACAAUGGGCGGAAGCCUGAUGCAGCAACGCCGCGUGCGGGAUGACGGCCUUCGGGUGGUAAACCGCUUUCGCCUGGGACGAAGCGUGAGUGACGGUAAUGGGUAAAGAAGCACCGGCUAACUACGUG